AACUUUUGACAAUGGAUCACUUGGCUCUCGCAUCGAUGAAGAACGCAGCGAAAUGCGAUAAGUAAUGUGAAUUGUAGAUUUUCAGUGAAUCAUCGAAUCUUUGAACGCACCUUGCGCCCCUUGGUAUUCCGAGGGGCAUGCCUGUUUGAGUGUCAUUGAAAUAUCAACCUUGGGUGGAUUUGCUUCCUCUGCGAUGGUUGGACUUUGGAGAGUGCUGUCGUCAGGUCGGCUCUUCUUAAAUGCAUCAGCGGUAAACUUUGACCUGUCGACGUCAGCGUGAUAAUCACGUUGCGCUGUCGACCGAUGUGUCAUCAUAAGGACCCGCUUCUAAUGGUCUUCGGACAGGACAUCAAAUUUGACCUCAAAUCAGGUAGGACUACCCGCUGAACUUAAGCAUAUCAAUAAGCGGAGGCU
Molecule: unclassified non-coding RNA, 414 nt
Filed under: uncultured Atheliaceae
Lineage: Eukaryota; Fungi; Basidiomycota; Agaricomycetes; Atheliales; Atheliaceae
Description: sequence contains ITS2
Rfam family: 5.8S ribosomal RNA (bases 1-155)
Source: RNAcentral